This 402-nucleotide ribosomal RNA is filed under the name uncultured bacterium. RNAcentral's name for it is "partial 16S ribosomal RNA". It matches the Rfam family "Bacterial small subunit ribosomal RNA", at positions 355 to 774 of the family's 1533-position model. The record is from RNAcentral.
UGGGGAAUCUUAGACAAUGGGGGCAACCCUGAUCUAGCCAUGCCGCGUGAGUGAUGUAGGCCUUAGGGUUGUAAAGCUCUUUCAGCUGGGAAGAUAAUGACGGUACCAGCAGAAGAAGCCCCGGCUAACUCCGUGCCAGCAGCCGCGGUAAUACGGAGGGGGCUAGCGUUGUUCGGAAUUACUGGGCGUAAAGCGCACGUAGGCGGACUGGAAAGUUGGGGGUGAAAUCCCGGGGCUCAACCUCGGAACUGCCUUCAAAACUAUCAGUCUGGAGUUCGAGAGAGGUGAGUGGAAUUCCGAGUGUAGAGGUGAAAUUCGUAGAUAUUCGGAGGAACACCAGUGGCGAAGGCGGCUCACUGGCUCGAUACUGACGCUGAGGUGCGAAAGCGUGGGGAGCAAACA